CAGCGCCACGAGUGGGGGCCGUGUUUAUUGGGCCUAAAGCAUCCGUAGCCGGCGCUGUAAGUUUUCGGUUAAAUCUGUACGCUCAACGUACAGGCUGCCGGGAAUACUGCAGCGCUAGGGAGUGGGAGAGGUAGACGGUACUCGGUAGGAAGGGGUAAAAUCCUUUGAUCUAUUGAUGACCACCUGUGGCGAAGGCGGUCUACCAGAACACGUCCGACGGUGAGGGAUGAAAGCUGGGGGAGCAAAACGGAUUAGAUACCCGAGUAGUCC
RNAcentral lists this ribosomal RNA (270 nucleotides) under uncultured archaeon. RNAcentral's name for it is "partial 16S ribosomal RNA". It matches the Rfam family "Archaeal small subunit ribosomal RNA", at positions 477 to 747 of the family's 1478-position model. The record is from RNAcentral.